AACAAACUAACAUUUAUCUCAAUAAUUAGGCAUCAACAUAGCAAUUAUAAAGCCAGGUUGUAAUGCAUGGAGCAAGAAAAUUCAAGUUCCAAGUGGAACAAUGCACAUAAUCCACAUUAAAGCGUAGACUUGGCAAAUGUAAAGAAGAAUCCAUCAAAUGUUCGUUGAUAAAGGAUAUUCCAUAAAGAUGGAAAAAAAGGGGAAACUGAAACUAUUAAAAUACUAUACAUCAACCCGAGAGUUGGAUCGUGUCCUGCUCCAACAAAUCUCACAUCAUAAAGAACAGCGAAGGUAAGACAAAUAAACAGGAAGAAAAUAGACAAUAAGACAUUGCUAAGAAUAAUUUAAUGGAUUUAAAAACUGAACCAAAGAGAGGAGGCAGAAAUUACAGUUGUUUUUAAAUUUUUUCUGGUGGCAUGAUUUUUGUUCAGCGUCUGAAUCGGUCCCCAUUUUGAGAUUGCUUUUACCCACAUUUGUAAGAAGUAUUGACAUCAUUGGUUUGGUGGCCACUGUAACGACAUUUGCCUGUUGUCCUUUCUCAUCUUCCACAGGAUCAUAAGAAGACUACAAGCAAAAGCAAGCAUUUAUCAAAUAAGCAGACUACAAGUAAAAUCACAUUACGUUAUCCACAUAAACAGGAAAAGAUGCAUUUAAC
This 655-nucleotide long non-coding RNA is filed under the name Olea europaea (common olive). RNAcentral describes it as "long non-coding RNA (OEUR_LNC011511)". Lineage: Eukaryota; Viridiplantae; Streptophyta; Magnoliopsida; Lamiales; Oleaceae. The record is from RNAcentral.